Long non-coding RNA from Phyllostomus hastatus (greater spear-nosed bat), 1253 nucleotides. RefSeq lists it as uncharacterized. The transcript has 3 exons. The record is from RefSeq and is a predicted model, not a curated record. NCBI's taxonomy places the organism in Eukaryota, Metazoa, Chordata, Mammalia, Chiroptera, Phyllostomidae.
AGCAGCAGAAAGAACCAAGGGCCAGGAGCAGGCAGCUGGACUCCGCACCCGGGCUUACACAGUUGGCACCGGGACAGAAUCCUGGUUUCCAAGCUGCUGCAACCUUGUCACGACCUUGGGUAACCUGCUCAUCUGAAGUGCACUAACAGGUUGCUGGGAUGAAAUCCUAAAGCCCAGCGUGCACAACACCGUUACUUUUUGGAGAAGACUCACAGGUCACAAGGUUCCAAAUCUGUAUGCAAUGCUUUAACACGGAAGCCGUAUCAUGCCAGUAUCUGACAAGGAAAUGGCUACAAUGACCUCAUCUGGAAUUUAACUCCUAAGAGAAUUACACAGAAUUAAGGACUAUAGCUCCUGAAGCCCCUGAAGGUGUUGCUAUUUGGUAUGUUGAACUAUACCGACGCACGAUGGAUGGAAACAUCCCUGCGUCUGGCGCAGACUGGCAGUGCUUCUGCUCUCACUUCACUGCUGGGCUCUGGAAAAAAAAGUUCCACAGCAAAGUCUGAGCUAAAUGAACCUCUCCAUCAAUGUUUGAAAUUAUGUAUUUCUAGCCAUUAGUAUUACUAAUACUAAUUAGUAACAGCUAAUUACUUAGCUAUUAAUAUAUUUAUUGUAUCUUUUAUGAAUUGGUCAAAAACCCAAAUUUUGCUGGGCAGGGUUUUCUUACCUGUUGAAAGAGAUGGGGAAAAUGGAAACCACAAAAGAAUUAAAUCUGAGAAUGGAUGAAGUCUGCUCUACACUGCACUGAGCUGAGUCUGGCAGGACUUCCUGACCUAGGUAUCUGCCUACUGCCAGGAGAACAAACGCACAGGCAUCCAGUGUGAGGAUGAGGCGCCUGCUACGCCUUUGCGCACGGUUCCACCGGACUGUGACGUCACUCUGGGCGGGAGUGCAGAUGCCAGCCUCGGUAUGCUGAAGCCUUUAUAUGCUGCUAUCAUUUAAUCAUUUGUUUUGCCUAAAACUAAACAAAAUCCUUAUUGUUGUACCCAAAAAAUGUUGAGAAUCACAGCUGUCAAUGAAGUAAAUGCUGAAAAAAAAUAGACCCUCAAAUGUAUUAAUUAAAAAAGUGAAUAUUCAAAUUUAAAAUGCCCAUUAACAACAAGGAUUCGAGGCACAGAUAGGAGUUAACCUAAUAAUUGCAUAUGAUCAGUGUUCCAGUUUUAUCUUUCUUUUUUUAAGUAUUUUAUUUAUUUAUUUUUAGAGAGGGGAAGGGAGAGAGAGAUGGAAACAUUAAUGUGGGGUUGCCUCUCACG